AACGAACGCUGGCGGCAUGCCUAACACAUGCAAGUCGAACGAAGCCUUCGGGCUUAGUGGCGCACGGGUGCGUAACGCGUGGGAAUCUGCCCUUGGGUUCGGAAUAACAGUUAGAAAUGACUGCUAAUACCGAAUGAUGUCUUCGGACCAAAGAUUUAUCGCCCAAGGAUGAGCCCGCGUCGGAUUAGCUAGUUGGUGAGGUAAAGGCUCACCAAGGCGACGAUCCGUAGCUGGUCUGAGAGGAUGAUCAGCCACACUGGGACUGAGACACGGCCCAGACUCCUACGGAGGCAGCAGUGGGGAAUAUUGGACAAUGGGCGAAAGCCUGAUCCAGCAAUGCCGCGUGAGUGAUGAAGGCCUUAGGGUUGUAAAGCUCUUUUACCCGGGAUGAUAAUGACAGUACCGGGAGAAUAAGCCCCGGCUAACUCCGUGCCAGCAGCCG
RNAcentral lists this ribosomal RNA (442 nucleotides) under uncultured bacterium. RNAcentral describes it as "bacterial SSU rRNA". It matches the Rfam family "Bacterial small subunit ribosomal RNA", at positions 29 to 517 of the family's 1533-position model. The record is from RNAcentral.